UGGGGGAUAUUGCACAAUGGGCGAAAGCCUGAUGCAGCGACGCCGCGUGGGGGAUGAAGGCCUUCGGGUUGUAAACUUCUUUUGCUCUGAACAAGGCAUGCUAAUGGGUGUGUUGAGUGUAGGGGUUGAUUAGCGCCGGCUAACUACGUGCCAGCAGCCGCGGUAAUACGUAGGGCCGGGGGGUGUUCGGAAUUUAUUGGCGUUAAGGGCUUGGUGGUGGCUGGUUGCGUCUGGCGUGAAAGCUCAUGGCUUAACUGUGGGUUUGCGGUGGGUACGGGCUGGCUUGAGUGCAGUAGGGGAGGCUGGAAUUCCUGGUGUAGCGGUGGAAUGCGCAGAUAUCAGGAGGAAUACCGGUGGCGAAGGCGGGUCUCUGGGCUGUUACUGACACUGAGGAGCGAAAGCAUGGGGAGCGAACAGG
RNAcentral lists this ribosomal RNA (418 nucleotides) under bacterium. RNAcentral describes it as "partial 16S ribosomal RNA". It matches the Rfam family "Bacterial small subunit ribosomal RNA", at positions 355 to 776 of the family's 1533-position model. The record is from RNAcentral.